RNAcentral lists this ribosomal RNA (253 nucleotides) under uncultured bacterium. RNAcentral's name for it is "partial 16S ribosomal RNA". It matches the Rfam family "Bacterial small subunit ribosomal RNA", at positions 524 to 776 of the family's 1533-position model. The record is from RNAcentral.
UACGGGGGGGGUAAGCGUUGUUCGGAAUUACUGGGCGUAAAGCGUGCGUAGGUGGUUUGUUAAGUCUGUUGUGAAAGCCCCGGGCUCAACCUGGGAAUGGCAAUGGAUACUGGCAAGCUAGAGUGCGGUAGAGGGUAGUGGAAUUCCCGGUGUAGCGGUGAAAUGCGUAGAGAUCGGGAGGAACACCAGUGGCGAAGGCGGCUACCUGGACCAGCACUGACACUGAGGCACGAAAGCGUGGGUAGCAAACAGG